GCCCCUAGUAACGGCGAGUGAAGCGGGAAGAGCUCAAAUUUGAAAUCUAGUAGCCUUCGGCUGCUCGAGUUGUAAUCUAGAGAAGUGUUUUCCGUGCCGGCCCAUGUACAAGUCCCUUGGAACAGGGCGUCAUAGAGGGUGAGAAUCCCGUCCUUGACAUGGACCCCCGGUGCUCUGUGAUACACUUUCAACGAGUCGAGUUGUUUGGGAAUGCAGCUCAAAAUGGGUGGUGAAUUCCAUCUAAAGCUAAAUAUUGGCGAGAGACCGAUAGCGAACAAGUACCGUGAGGGAAAGAUGAAAAGCACUUUGGAAAGAGAGUUAAACAGUACGUGAAAUUGUUGAAAGGGAAACGAUUGAAGUCAGUCAUGCUCUUUGGUAUUUAUAUCAUUGAGUGGGGUCAACAUCAGUUUUGAGCGAUGGAUAAAGGCACUAGGAAGGUAGCACUCUCGGGUGAACUUAUAGCCUAGCGUCAUAUACAUUGUUUGGGACUGAGGAACGCAGCAUGCCUUUAUGGCCGGGAUUCGUCCACGUACAUGCUUAGGAUGUUGACAUAAUGGCUUUAAACGACCCGUCUUGAAACACGGGACCA
Molecule: ribosomal RNA, 589 nt
Filed under: Naganishia diffluens
Lineage: Eukaryota; Fungi; Basidiomycota; Tremellomycetes; Filobasidiales; Filobasidiaceae
Description: partial large subunit ribosomal RNA
Rfam family: Eukaryotic large subunit ribosomal RNA
Source: RNAcentral